UGUGACGAUUCCUCUGUGCCCUUAAGGGAAGGGAGGGGCGGUAGCUCCCGAUUUGAAAUAGAAGCACGUCCUUAUCCUCAAGCCGCUUGCUCUGCCACCUUCAAAUCGCUGCAGAUCACAGCCAGGCCCCGUGCCAUGCUGGCAAUGCAGGACAGCCACCAGGCAGAUCUUGUGGUGGUCUGUCCACGAGAACCUUUCCGGGAGACCUCACCACAGAAAUGAGGGCACAGGUUGUUUUCUCUACUCUCCUUGGGGAGGACAAAACGGUGUCCAGAGAGAAGCUCUCAGCCCAGGCUGUGCAUGGGGUCACUGGUGCUUAGAAGCCCCCAGCCAAAGUCAGAUAUUUAACCUGGUUGUUUUUGGAGUGUGGCCAGGUAGAGAACCCCUGUGAGGUACCAUUAGAAUGGAGUCUCAGGGUUUGAAAAAGCUGAUUAUGCUCAACUCCGAAGAGGGCAGAGAAGUAGGAAAUCGGAGCCUAGGAACAGGGAAACAGGUUGUCCGGGUGGGCCGCGCUCAAGAGGAUGCUGGCUUGUCCACACUGCUCAUCAGGGUUCCAUUGAAAUCACUCUGCAUCCUUGGCACCAACACAGCCUGCCAGAAUAAAGCCCUCAUAAGGCUCCAACACAUGCUCUUCAGAGACGUCUCUUUCUCCAUUCCCGAGCCCCGAUCCCUGCUCUGUAGUCUAUUUGCUAUCAAGCGACAGGAGCUACGGAAGGAGACGCCACUUCUCCAAGACAGAGAUGUGGCAGUUCAAUGAGUUCUUAUUUUCCCCCACAGGAAGAGCUUAGAGCACAAGGGGCAGUAUCGUUGAAGGGAAACGUCCGUGGGAGGAAAAUCAGAGGCAUGGUGAAGGGACACGGGAUUGAGAUGGGCUUUUAAGACCAUGAUGAGAGCUCACAUGAUGGUCCCCGGCGCACGCCCCAGCUGUUGACAACUGCAGGAUGAGUGCAGAUAGUGGUGGGCUCUGCUGGGGAAGGACUUCAGGUGAAGCCUGCAACUUGCUGCCAGGAUAACAUUAACGUGUUUGUUGACUGCUCUUGGCUCUUUACUCAGGGGUGCUGUCCUUGUCAGCCAGGUAUGGUGGCACAGGCCUUUAAUGCCAACACUUAGGAGGCAGAGGCAAGCAUGAGUUCACUGCUAGCCUGGUCUGCACAGUGAGUCUCAGGCUAGCCUGGGCCCUACAGUGAAACCUGGUCUUAAAAAAAAAAAAAAAAAAAAAAAAAAAAGCAUUUCUACCUUCUGUUUUGUUCUGUUUAUGUAUGUUUUGUUUUAUUUCUUCCUACGCUACCUUUAUUUAGAGACUCUUUUUGACCAUAUGGAGUGCAGCCCCUUCUCCCCAAGGAACCUCCUGGAUCUUGGUGAGAGGUAUUGGGCAAAGACUUUCUGGAGCCUCUGGCCAAAGCUAACCAGUCUGAUAUUUGUGCCCCAAGUCAUGGCCUCUUAGAGACUGCUGUCAUUGGCUGCAAUCCAAGCAGCAACAUCUCAAGUGCCCACUGUGUGCCAGACUCCAUCUUUUGCACCCUGGGAUUCUGUGGAAGGCUUUUCCUCCCCAGAUGGCUUGGAG
This is a long non-coding RNA of Psammomys obesus (fat sand rat), 1564 nucleotides long. RefSeq lists it as uncharacterized. The transcript has 3 exons. NCBI's taxonomy places the organism in Eukaryota, Metazoa, Chordata, Mammalia, Rodentia, Muridae. The record is from RefSeq and is a predicted model, not a curated record.